AACAGGAUUAGAUACCCUGGUAGUCCACGCAGUAAACGAUGAUUACUAGCUGUUUGCGAUACACAGUAAGCGGCACAGCGAAAGCGUUAAGUAACCCACCUGGGGAGUACGCCGGCAACGGUGAAACUCAAAGGAAUUGACGGGGGCCCGCACAAGCGGAGGAACAUGUGGUUUAAUUCGAUGAUACGCGAGGAACCUUACCCGGGUUUGAACGCAUUCGGACCGGAGUGGAAACACUUCUUCUAGCAAUAGCCGUUUGCGAGGUGCUGCAUGGUUGUCGUCAGCUCGUGCCGUGAGGUGUCGGCUUAAGUGCCAUAACGAGCGCAACCCUUGCCACUAGUUACUAACAGGUAAAGCUGAGGACUCUGGUGGGACUGCCAGCGUAAGCUGCGAGGAAGGCGGGGAUGACGUCAAAUCAGCACGGCCCUUACAUCCGGGGCGACACACGUGUUACAAUGGCGUGGACAAAGGGAGGCCACCUGGCGACAGGGAGCGAAUCCCCAAACCACGUCUCAGUUCGGAUCGGAGUCUGCAACCCGACUCCGUGAAGCUGGAUUCGCUAGUAAUCGCGCAUCAGCCAUGGCGCGGUGAAUACGUUCCCGGGCCUUGUACACACCGCCCGUCAAGCCAUGGGAGCCGGGGGUACCUGAAGUCCGUAACCGAAAGGAUCGGCCUAGGGUAAAACUGGUGACUGGGGCUAAGUCGUAACAAGGUAGCCGUACCGGAAGGUGCGGCUG
This 737-nucleotide ribosomal RNA is filed under the name human gut metagenome. Its description in RNAcentral is "bacterial SSU rRNA". It matches the Rfam family "Bacterial small subunit ribosomal RNA", at positions 771 to 1520 of the family's 1533-position model. The record is from RNAcentral.